This 886-nucleotide ribosomal RNA is filed under the name uncultured bacterium. Its description in RNAcentral is "bacterial SSU rRNA". It matches the Rfam family "Bacterial small subunit ribosomal RNA", at positions 30 to 873 of the family's 1533-position model. The record is from RNAcentral.
UGAACGCUGGCGGCGUAGAUUAGGCAUGCAAGUCGAGCGAUGUUCUGAAUUGAGAGGUUGAAGCCGCAAGGUGGAUGCCAAUUGAUUUGGAAACAUAGCGGCAGACUGGUGAGUAAUGCGCGAGUAAUUUACCUCUAAGUCGGGGAUAGCUUUGCGAAAGCGAAGGUAAUACCCGAUGUGUUUACGACUGCAUAAGCAGAUGCAAGUAAAGGGGGUUCGCAAGAAUUCUUGUUUAGAGAUGAGCUCGCGUCCUAUCAGCUAGUUGGUGGGGUAACGGCCUACCAAGGCUUUUGACGGGUAGCUGGCCUGAGAGGGUGGUCAGCCACAUGGGGACUGAGACACUGCCCCAACUCCUACGGGAGGCUGCAGUCGAGGAUAUUUAGCAAUGGACGAAAGUCUGACUAUGUGACGCCGCGUGAGGGAUGAAGGUCUUCGGAUUGUAAACCUCUUUCGAUGGGGAAGAAAACCUGCUUUAAUACAGCAGACUGACGGUACCCAGAGAAGAAGCCACGGCCAACUCUGUGCCAGCAGCCGCGGUAAUACAGAGGUGGCGAGCGUUACUCGGAUUUAUUGGGUGUAAAGGGCAAGUAGGCGUCUUAACAAGUUAGAAGUGAAAUCCUGCAGCUCAACUGCAGAACUGCUUUUAAAACUGUUGAGAUUGAGUUUGGGAGAGGAAAGCGGAAUUCUCGGUGUAAGAGUGAAAUCUGUAGAUAUCGAGAGGAACACCGGUGGCGAAGGCGGCUUUCUGGUCCAGUACUGACGCUGAAUUGCGAAAGCUAGGGGAGCAAACAGGAUUAGAUACCCUGGUAGUCCUAGCCGUAAACUAUGAGCACUAGGUGUUGGGGGUUUACCCUUAGCGCCGUAAGUAACACGUAAGUGCUCCACC